CAUGCAGGCGGUUACAUAAGUCAGGUGUGAAAUCCCCGCGCUUAACGUGGGCAUUGCAUUUGAAACUAUGUAGCUAGAGUAUGUCAGAGGGGGGUAGAAUUCCACGUGUAGCAGUGAAAUGCGUAGAUAUGUGGAGGAAUACCGAUGGCGAAGGCAGCCCCCUGGGACAAUACUGACGCUCAUGCACGAAAGCGUGGGGAUCAAACAGGAUUAGAUACCCUUG
Molecule: ribosomal RNA, 223 nt
Filed under: uncultured Thorsellia sp.
Lineage: Bacteria; Pseudomonadati; Pseudomonadota; Gammaproteobacteria; Enterobacterales; Thorselliaceae
Description: partial 16S ribosomal RNA
Rfam family: Bacterial small subunit ribosomal RNA
Source: RNAcentral